AGUGAACGCUGGCGGUAGGCCUAACACAUGCAAGUCGAACGGCAGCACAGGAGAGCUUGCUCUCUGGGUGGCGAGUGGCGGACAGGUGAGGAAUACAUCGGAAUCUACUCUGUCGUGGGGGAUAACGUAGGGAAACUUACGCUAAUACCGCAUACGACCUACGGGUGAAAGCAGGGGAUCUUCGGACCUUGCGCGAUUGACUGAGCCGAUGUCGGAUUAGCUAGUUGGCGGGGUAAAGGCCCACCAAGGCGACGAUCCGUAGCUAGUCUGAGAGGGUGAUCAGCCCCACUGGAACUGAGACACGGUCCAGACUCCUACGGGAGGCAGCAGUGGGGAAUAUUGGACAAUGGGCGCAAGCCUGAUCCAGCCAUACCGCGUGGGUGAAGAAGGCCUUCGGGUUGUAAAGCCCUUUUGUUGGGAAAGAAAUCCAGCUGGCUAAUACCCGGUUGGGAUGACGGUACCCAAAGAAUAAGCACCGGCUAACUUCGUGCCAGCAGCCGCCGUAA
Molecule: ribosomal RNA, 506 nt
Filed under: uncultured bacterium
Lineage: Bacteria
Description: partial 16S ribosomal RNA
Rfam family: Bacterial small subunit ribosomal RNA
Source: RNAcentral